RNAcentral lists this long non-coding RNA (2067 nucleotides) under Triticum aestivum (bread wheat). Its description in RNAcentral is "long non-coding RNA (TAES_LNC020832)". Lineage: Eukaryota; Viridiplantae; Streptophyta; Magnoliopsida; Poales; Poaceae. The record is from RNAcentral.
UUUAAAAAAGUGCAAACAUAUUUUUUUGAAACAAAAAUAGUGUUAACAUGUGGUAAACUAUGGUCAUUUUUAAACUAAUUUCUCCAGUAAACAAAUUAAACCAGCCACAUGCAAGGUCGGGUCCUGAGCUCUACAUAUAGUUAUAAAUCGAAAGAGUUGAUCUUAAGAUUACUAAGUAAAACCAAGUAUCACAGUAAGAAGAAGAAGACCCAAAUAUGUAAUUGGAAUGUAUCAAGUCCUGAAGAAUCAUCUUUGGUGUUUUACAUUUAGUGGGCGGACACAUGACCACCAGUACAUCACUACCCAUUUUCUGACCAAUUGUUUCGUCCAAGCACCAUCAGCUGCUCAUUACGGAGAGUCGAAGAGCAUUGAAGCAAAGCGGCAAUAAGCUAACUCUUCGGCUGAUCUCCAGCAACAGAGGCAGCAAGGUCAAGUCAAGCCUGACAAACAUGUCCUUCAGAGUGUAUGACGUGUGUUGUUCCUGUGUGACGGCACGCCAAAGAGUUCCCGCCCAUCUCGCCGCUGGUGUCGUACAUAGGGUGGCGGUAGGGCAUCACGGCGAGCCACCGUGGUGGUCGGUGGCGACCUGGUUGCUGAGACACCAAAGUGUGUGUCAAUUGUUAACGACGCCAAAGUGCCUGUCAAUAAAAUUUACUGGAAAUACCAGUCUAUAUAGCUCAACAUCAGGAGAUGCAGGACCUCAUCAUAUAUUGGGUCUUUAACAUAAUCAAAUACAUGGUCAGAGUGUUCCUGAUGUUGAUGGUUUUUGAAAUCUGUUUCUGCUAUUCUAUAAGUUAGCCAUGAACAAGGUUUGUUAUUCUAUAAGUUAGCCAUGAACCAGGUUUGCUAUUCUAUAAGUUAGCCAUGAACAAGGUUUACACCAUCUGUGAAAUGACAGUAAUUCUGGAAAAUAAAAAUAAUAAGAGCACCACUACAGCUAGUAAGAAAAUCAUGACAUGAUAUAGACGGAAAGAAUGCUUAGUACAGCUGCAAUUAAAGGGUUUGCUUUCAGUCAAGGAAUAUAGCAUGACGUCAAUAGCGAAACGUGAUGAUAUUUGUGGAAAUAAAAUAACAAGAGCACUGCAACUGCUAGUAAAAGCAAAUAUUAUCCAACAUGAUAAUUUCAACCAGCACAUCAGUUGAUUUUGUAAGACGGAACUUUUAUUUAUCUUCACAAGUAAUAGUUUUUUCCAAAGAUGAUUCUAUUGCUAUCUGGGCACAUAGAUCAUGGUCAGUCAAUGCAUAAUGUGCAAAAAGUCAAAUAAUUUAAGAAAACAUUGAAUACAGAAGUACACAUAAUAAAUCAAAAAAUACCUUGUGGGAGAUAAACAAUAUACAAUUCUUUCGGAGCAUCAUGUAAACAUUAAACUCUAGGCCAAAUUAACGCAAGCAAGAGAUGCUUUCUAUGAAUUAGCAUUGUGCUCCGGACCUGUGAAUGCUAUAUCAUUAGAGAAUAAGAACUCAAAAAAAUAUAAACCUUGUUUCGUGGUUGAUAUGAUCAACACCACAACAAUAAUGUACUGUACAUAAUUAGAAGUUUAAAAACAUAUCAAAAUAUAUUACUUCAUGGGAAUCGUUUGGGUAAAAUUUUGGGGAGAAAUGCCUUAUAAAAAUACGAAGAUAUGUUUUACUUCUAAUGAGAGGGAACAGUCACCCUAACGCUUAGUUUGUGCAAUGUAUGUAAAAAGUUAGUAAGCAGCAGAAUCCUUGAAAAUACUCUUCCAAUGGAUCGGCAAGCGUAAAGCAUAGACAUAUUACAACCUUGUCAGCAAAUUGAGAAAUAUUGGGUAUCGCAAUUCCUAUGAGCAGAAUUGGAGUUUCUGGAAAAGAGAUUUCUGAAAUAUUGAAGAUGCCUCUUUGCCAGAAUGGCUAAUCAAUAUGUUUAUAAAAUAGAUUGAACAGUAACAUAGUGGAAGUAAACCAAACCUUCUUAUACUAACUAUGUCAAGUUUCAGUGUUACAUGAACACAACUCAACUACGGCGACUCUGUAUUGUCGUCAGCCGGUCAGAGACCACCCAAUACAGCCUCGUUCCUAAAGUACGUCAAUGGAAUUGAUUAAAUUAAC